Molecule: ribosomal RNA, 253 nt
Filed under: uncultured bacterium
Lineage: Bacteria
Description: partial 16S ribosomal RNA
Rfam family: Bacterial small subunit ribosomal RNA
Source: RNAcentral
UACGUAGGGUGCAAGCGUUAUCCGGAUUUACUGGGUGUAAAGGGAGCGUAGGUGGUUCGGCAAGUCAGAUGUGAAAGCCCGGGGCUCAACCCCGGGACUGCAUUUGAAACUGCCUUACUAGAGUGCAGGAGAGGUAAGUGGAAUUCCUAGUGUAGCGGUGAAAUGCGUAGAUAUUAGGAGGAACACCAGUGGCGAAGGCGGCUUACUGGACUGUAACUGACACUGAGGCUCGAAAGCGUGGGGAGCAAACAGG